AGAGGUUGAUCCUGGCUGAGGAUGAACGCUAGCGGCAGGCUUAACACAUGCAAGANGAGGGGUAGAAGCAGCUUGCUGCUUUGAGACCGGCGCACGGGUGCGUAACGCGUAUACAAUCUACCUUUACAGAGGGAUAGCCCAGAGAAAUUUGGAUUAAUACCUCAUAGUAUUUUCGAAUCGCAUGAUUUGAUUAUUAAAGUUCCAACGGUAAAAGAUGAGUAUGCGUCCCAUUAGCUAGAUGGUAAGGUAACGGCUUACCAUGGCAAUGAUGGGUAGGGGUCCUGAGAGGGAGAUCCCCCACACUGGUACUGAGACUCGGACCAGACUCCUACGGGAGGCAGCAGUGAGGAAUAUUGGACAAUGGGCGCAAGCCUGAUCCAGCCAUGCCGCGUGCAGGAAGACGGUCCUAUGGAUUGUAAACUGCUUUUAUACAGGAAGAAACACACCCUCGUGAGGGUACUUGACGGUACUGUAUGAAUAAGCAUCGGCUAACUCCGUGCCAGCAGCCGCGGUAAUACGGAGGAUGCAAGCGUUAUCCGGAAUCAUUGGGUUUAAAGGGUCCGUAGGCGGCCAAAUAAGUCAGUGGUGAAAGCCCAUCGCUCAACGAUGGAACGGCCAUUGAUACUGUUUGGCUUGAAUUAUUAGGAAGUAACUAGAAUAUGUAGUGUAGCGGUGAAAUGCUUAGAGAUUACAUGGAAUACCAAUUGCGAAGGCAGGUUACUACUAAUAUAUUGACGCUGAUGGACGAAAGCGUGGGGAGCGAACAGGAUUAGAUACCCUGGUAGUCCACGCCGUAAACGAUGGAUACUAGCUGUUCGGAGCAAUCUGAGCGGCUAAGCGAAAGUGAUAAGUAUCCCACCUGGGGAGUACGUUCGCAAGAAUGAAACUCAAAGGAAUUGACGGGGGCCCGCACAAGCGGUGGAGCAUG
RNAcentral lists this ribosomal RNA (928 nucleotides) under uncultured bacterium. Its description in RNAcentral is "bacterial SSU rRNA". It matches the Rfam family "Bacterial small subunit ribosomal RNA", at positions 8 to 941 of the family's 1533-position model. The record is from RNAcentral.